UACGGAGGGUGCAAGCGUUGCUCGGAAUUAUUGGGCGUAAAGCGUAUGUAGGCGGUUUUCUAAGUCUGAUGUGAAAUCCCGGGGCUCAACCCCGGAACUGCAUUGGAUACUGGAAAGCUAGAGGACGAUAGAGGAUGGUGGAAUUCCAGGUGUAGGGGUGAAAUCCGUAGAUAUCUGGAGGAACAUCAGUGGCGAAGGCGGCCAUCUGGAUCGUACCUGACGCUGAGAUACGAAAGCGUGGGGAGCAAACAGG
RNAcentral lists this ribosomal RNA (253 nucleotides) under uncultured bacterium. RNAcentral describes it as "partial 16S ribosomal RNA". It matches the Rfam family "Bacterial small subunit ribosomal RNA", at positions 524 to 776 of the family's 1533-position model. The record is from RNAcentral. RNAcentral also lists the same sequence under 1 other name.